ACGAACGCUGGCGGCGUGCCUAAUACAUGCAAGUCGAGCGGACCGAACAGGAGCUUGCUCUUGUUCGGUUAGCGGCGGACGGGUGAGUAACACGUGGGUAACCUGCCCGUAAGACCGGGAUAACUCCGGGAAACCGGAGCUAAUACCGGAUAACACCGAAGACCGCAUGGUCUUUGGUUGAAAGGCGGCUUCGGCUGCCACUUACGGAUGGGCCCGCGGCGCAUUAGCUAGUUGGUGAGGUAACGGCUCACCAAGGCGACGAUGCGUAGCCGGCCUGAGAGGGUGACCGGCCACACUGGGACUGAGACACGGCCCAGACUCCUACGGGAGGCAGCAGUAGGGAAUCUUCCGCAAUAGACGAAAGUCUGACGGAGCGACGCCGCGUGAGCGAAGAAGGUCUUCGGAUCGUAAAGCUCUGUUGUUAGGGAAGAAGAAGCGUCGUUCGAACAGGGCGGCGCGGUGACGGUACCUAACGAGAAAGCCCCGGCUAACUACGUG
This 498-nucleotide ribosomal RNA is filed under the name uncultured bacterium. Its description in RNAcentral is "partial 16S ribosomal RNA". It matches the Rfam family "Bacterial small subunit ribosomal RNA", at positions 29 to 507 of the family's 1533-position model. The record is from RNAcentral.